GGGGGAGGCUGGAGGGGGAUUAGCUGUUGGCCUUCAGAUGUGAGCCUCCACCCUGUGAGGUGACUCAGUAACCUGAUCUCUGUGUUUUUAAGGAUCCGUCCUGAUGGAGCCAGAGGAGCCCCCCCCCCCCCCCCCCCCCCCCCCCUUCCUGGUAUCAGAGCCUCACUCCAUUGAUCUGUGGAUCCUCCUCCAUCAGUCGGCUGCUCCCUGUGCUCCUGUUUCCAUAUUCCAGCUGUGGGCACGCGGGCAGGAGGGGGGGGGAUCCAGACUCCGUGGGUCCACAAAGAGCUGCAGGAAGUGAGGAGGCUUUAAAUGUAUGAACCUUUCCUUCUGAUGUGAUCAGCUGCUGAUCCUGACUCAGACCUCAUCAGUGGAGCCGUCUGAAGCUCUCCGACCAGACAGAGUAAACAACAACAACAACAACAACAGAAACACACUUUAGGCAUGAAGGAGCUUUUGCUUUGUUUGGGAUUCAUUUCCCUUUUACUCUCUUCCAGCUGUACAGUCAUUAGUCCGGUGGGAAUAAACCAAAUGUACAGAAUGUUUUAUUUUUACGCAUUGUCUCGGGUCAUUGUGAGCGACGCACUAAAUCUGUUGUACCAGUUGUAUUGUUAUUGUUGUCAUCGUUUCCUCUUCUCGGCGUCACUGCUCCCCUCGUGGAUGAAACCCGACGAGGCAGCGAGAAGCUGAAGAAGCUCAGAUAUUCAUGAGAAGGAUCCAAAGCAAACACAGAGAUCCGGUGAGAAAAAGCCCCGGACCACCCAGAGAGACGCCGCUCUAAUCUGACUCAGGAUCAGCGUUAAUAAGCAAAUUGUUGUAUCACCAUUUCAAAGAGCUUUUCAAACCGAGACUUGUUUUAUGAGCGAGUGCUGCUGGCGGCCGGUUGGCUUUAUGAGAGAAAGCUGUGCUUAGAAUGUAUAAAAUACACUUAUGUGCAAGACUCAACGCUGCUCUGCUGAAGGGUCGCAUUGUAUUUGAAACAGUUAUGGGAAUAUGGGAAUUUAAAAAAAUGUAUUCCAACCUGGUCAGCUGGAUAAGUCUGUGUUUAGCCUAGCUUAGCACAAACAAAGCUAUCGUAAUCAACGUAGCGUUGCUGGUUGAUUACGAAACAGCAUUUAGCAAACAUAGCCACAGCUAGCAUGCUUCAUGUUAGCAGCCCACAGCUAGCAUGCUUCAUGUUAACAGCCCACAGCUAGCAUGCUUCAUGUUAGCAGCCAACAGCUAGCAUGCUUCAUGUUAGCAGCCCACAGCUAGCAUGCUUCAUGUUAACAGCCCACAGCUAGCAUGCUUCAUGUUAGCAGCCCACAGCUAGCAUGCUUCAUGUUAACAGCCCACAGCUAGCAUGCUUCAUGUUAGCAGCCCGCAGCUAGUUGAUUAGUCAUAGUUACAUAGUUGCAUUUACCAGAUUAUCCAACAGUCAUCAUUAGCUUCAUGUAGCUGUUUCUUCUGUUUGUAGCUAAUUAGCUUAGUAGCUUAGUUCUCACUCAUUCCUGAAACCUUGUCUAAUCAUUUUGUUCAACAGGUUUCUAUGAGUUUUGACAAUUUUGAACAUUUGGAUUUGGAUUCCAAUUGAAAUUGCUUACUAACAGAACAGACACAUGUCAAAAAAGUUACUUAAGGUUAGUCACAACCUUUCUAUCAAAGCUGUUUUAAAUAUGUUGAGUACAGAGUUGUGCCGUAAGGUUCCUCGUAUAACAAGCGCUGCUUCUGAGUCGGCCAGGAAGUAAAUUACCGUCUCCCAGCAUGCCGAGCAGCCAGAGGACAGAUGUCGGUCUAAUUACAGGACUGAAAGAAGCUAAUCCUACCGGCCUCUUGUGCUCCUGGACCCCUCCAUUGGCUGGAGCCCCACUCCCCCACGUGGACGCGGGGGUCCGGGCCACGGGGGGGCCACGUGUGUUUGCUUAUCUUCCCUGUUUGAUGCACUGGAAUCUUGAGCUUUGGGGCUGAAUAUUUUGGGGACUUCUUUUGAAUGUCCAACUGUAAAAGGUUUAGAGGCCGAUUCUUCUAACAAGUGUGAAACAUGUGGCAGAAGAAACCCUUUUAAGUCUUUAAGUCCAGAGGCAACGAAGAACAUCAAGAAACAGUAAACAGACUUCUCCUUCUCUGAGGGGGGGUCAUGUAGUGUAAACGAGAGCAGCUCCAAAAGACUUCAACUUUCUCCUGCAGCUCCACCCUCAUUAAGAGCUUUGCCACCCACGAAGAGACACCAGAGUCUUCAGUGUCCUCUCCAAAGUCCCUUCAUUCACCCACGAAGAGACACCAGAGUCUUCAGCGUCCUCUCCAAAGUCCCUUCAUUCACCCACGAAGAGACACCAGAGUCUUCAGCGUCCUCUCCAAUGUCCCUUCAUUCACCCACGGACGACCAUGCCGAGACACCAGAGCCCUAUGUAGCGCUGCUAACAUGUAGCAUUGCUCUUGCUGGACAUAUGGACAUUGGUCGUAGAAUAAUUCAUAUUAAUAGCAAUAUGUUUAUAGUAUAAAGGUGCAUUUGGUUUCUCGCUAAUGUUAUUGCUAGAAAAAUGCUAUUCAAGAAGAUGUGUUUGUUGGCUAGCUUAAUUAACCAGCUACGGUUAUUAAGUACACUGUGAAAUACCAUAAGGAUUUACAGGCAACAAUAAAUACUGUAGAGGUACAAAGUAAAGGACGGUCAAGUAGCUAAUGUUAACUUUAGCUAAGCUGGUUAGCCAGUUAGUUGCCUCGUCAUGUUAGCUGAUGAAUGAAUGAAUCAUUAAUCGUUACGCACGUUAGUAUCAUGGAACAAAUGAUCCAAAUUAAAUGCGGGACCCUACAGACAGGAACUUCAUUCUGAAUAUGACAGAUUUGGAUAUCAGAUUAACAUAUGAAUAUUAUCCUAACGUAAACCUGAGCAGGUGAGGUCGAGCAGCUGUCGCUCUGUCUUUGAGGUUUUUGGGAGCGCUUGUUUCCAUGAUGUUGUUGUCGUUGUUCGACGAGCAGGAGAUAAUGAAGGGAGGCUGGCGUCCUGCGGCUAACGCUCACUGUUUAUGAUAUUUAGGCCCAUUAGAGCCGAGCAGAGGAUCCCAUGGGCACAGAGGGGACGUAAUGAGAUGUGAGUUCUCUGUGGGGCCGAACAGGGAGGGGCCUAAUGACAUCAGAGUUCAGCUCAGAUCACAGGAACAAACACGCCUGAAUGUUGGUUUGUUAUGAGAGAAAGUUAGAGAAAGACCUUAAGUGACUCCCUGCGGACAGAAUGUUCCCUUUGAGUACAGAAAGAGGAAAUACACCAGUAGUCUAAGCGACAUACGUCUGAAUACUUCCACGACCAACUCAUAAUGUCAAGUAAUAAAAUACUGGAUAUUCAAAGUACAAAGACAAGUAUGCACCACAUGACAGAGGAGCUCUGUGCUGGGAACAGUGAAAUAGUGUGAUUGAAGCACACACACACAAGUAGUAAUAAUAAGACACGUUUGCACGUCCAUGUGCACGGAUGUGGUUGUGCCAACAUUUCCUCUUAUGUGUGUGUGAGGUCACAUCCUGCAUGUUAGUGGCUAAUGUUAAAAGGUGUUGGCGUGUAUUAUAACAACAGAGCCAUGUUCAUUUAAUUCCUGAUACAACUCAAUACAAACUCCCCAGACUCCUUUUGAACAUGGAACCCAGAGGAGCAGGGUUCUUCUCCCCCAGAGGAGCAGCUCUGCACCUCCUCCGUCCCUCACAAUGAGGCCUCUGUUGGGGGGUAAUGAUUCGGUUAUAAAGCUGAGGAGCCGGUGCAGGAGGACGCAUGUGGCUCACAGUGAGACCUUUUGACGUGAGGACGCGUGUUGCCUCACCGCUGACUCAUAUGUUAAUGAUAUGUUAAUGAGACUCCUGGAGAACCCAGUGAUUGGCUCUUUAACCGAUUGCUAAAUGAAGAAAGUGGCCGAGGCAAAUGGAGAUUUAUUUUAGCGGUGGCGGCGGCUGUGUGCUUUGGACCGCAGGGUUACUUUCUAAACACAUGUUGGUGAGGGGGGGGGGGGUCUAAGUGUGUUUGGACCUGUGGUUUUUCAAAAGAGGAAGGAGAGCUGCUGACUACUUCUCGCCUCUGGGUUAGAGUCCAUCCCGCCGCCCAGCUAAUGCCCCCAUACCACAGACAAACACAGCAGGGUGCCGAAGCCGAAGGUAGUUAUUGACCUUUACCUUUUUCCCACCUAGAGACACCUUGAGCUCACUCGAAUGUGACCAUGAAUCCCGAGGGUUCAGAUAGUGAAUCACGCUACCAGACGGGGUCUCUACCCCCCUCUGUGGCCUCUCUGAGGUCUGAAGGGGUUAAAUGUUCGGACGUACCUCAGCGCCUUUGUUGAGGUUUGUUUUCUUAUAGAAGGACCAGGUGUUCUUCCACCUGGUCCUCACAUCUGAACCGCGGGAGGAGCAGAGCGGUUCUGACCCGCUUUGAAGCCGCUGGAAUAACCCGUUUACAUCCCUCAUGAUCCGCCGCCUCCCUUCAUCUCCCCUUCUCACAACAACCGCGCCGAGCACCAACAAACGGAAGGGUUCCAUUUCCAGGCGGCGGAGCCAAACUCCACAGGCUGAGCGGGGGUCAGAACGGGGGCCGAGGGGGGCGAGGGGGGACUGUUGACCCGCGGGGCGUUCCCUUAUUGAUCUUACGUAUCUGCCCGGGGCGGAUAACCUCGCUGUUUGAACAGGAUCUAGAGGCUCGAUUCGUUCUCAUGAGCGAGGGUCAAUCAAUCAAUCAAUCAAUUGAUGAGUCAGUCAGACAUGUUGGAGAUCAUGGACACAGGUCACAAGGACGUGUUGGGGUCAUGGACACAGGUCACAAGGACGUGUUGGGGUCAUGGACACAGGUCACAAGGACGUGUUGGGGUCAUGGACACAGGUCACAAGGACGUGUUGGGGUCAUGGACACAGAUCACAAGGACGUGUUGGGGUCAUGGACAGAGAUCACAAGGACGUGUUGGGGUCAUGGACAGAGAUCACAAGGACGUGUUGGGGUCAUGGACAGAGAUCACAAGGACGUGUUGGGGGUCAUGGACACAGGUCAUGAGGACGUGUUGGACACCUUUACAAACGUCUCCACAUGGAGUCACAGUCUCGUCUCCGUCUCUGGCUCCGUCUCUGUACCUCGUGAACUUGUGUCCUCUGAGAGACGUUCCUCCUCCGUUCCCACGCGUCACCCAAAAUCUUCAGCUGGACCCAAAUCAGAAAAACAAACGUCCAUUAGCUGAAGAGCCUCCGUCAGGUGGAGCCGUAUCGGACUCUCCAUCUUCCUGCCGCCUGUUUUUCUUUCAUUGAAGCUGCUUCGGGCUUUUUUCUUCCUCCGGAGGAACGUCGUUGUGCAACGUCUGAGUGUGAGAACAGAAGCAGACGGUAAAUCAUCAGCGUGUUGAUGAGGAGCAUCCUGAGGUCCUCAUGAUCUCCAGUUACUCCUAAGUUUAUAUAUACACAUAAUAAUACACAUGUAUGAUCCAUCCAGUGGACUCAACUGUCUGAUCAAUGAUUCAAACGCACAAAGACACACAAGAGAACAGAUGUAUUUUACAUUUUAUAUUUUAAUACAUUCCUUCCUUCCCCUCCUCCUGCCUCCUUCUCACAUCCUUCCCUCCUUCUUCUUUCCUAACGGAGGAAAAUGUUUCCACAAACCUGCUGAUAUUUGUACUUGAAGAAUGCAGUACUUGUACUUUCCCCCCGUGGUAUUUAGAGGACAUCUGCUGAGUGUCUUUCCAGAGAGACCUUCCAUUUAUUUUGAAAAGACUCAUCAGGAAGUCAGAGUCCAAACAGAGUCCAGAGAUUCCACACACACACACACACACACACACACAC
Gasterosteus aculeatus aculeatus (three-spined stickleback) is the source of this 5772-nucleotide long non-coding RNA. The record is from Ensembl. Lineage: Eukaryota; Metazoa; Chordata; Actinopteri; Perciformes; Gasterosteidae.